CUUUUGCUUAUGAAAAAAUGAUGAAAGUUUCUAUUUUGUUUUACCUAUACGAUGUUGUAUAUGCCUUGACUUAUUGCUCUCUAUAAUAUGGACUUAAAUUGAUUUAAAUAUUGACUCUUUUAAUUGUGGAGGUUAAAUGACUAUAUUCUAGACCCACAUUCAUUCAGUUGCUCUCUAAUUUAAGUUUACUAAUGACCUGAUAACUUGUCUUGCUUUUAUUGAAACAUUAAUUCUUAUGCUAUCUACAUUCAUGAAUCUCUUGUGAAGUUCU
This 271-nucleotide long non-coding RNA is filed under the name Setaria viridis. Its description in RNAcentral is "long non-coding RNA (SVIR_LNC007016)". The record is from RNAcentral. Lineage: Eukaryota; Viridiplantae; Streptophyta; Magnoliopsida; Poales; Poaceae.